Molecule: non-coding RNA, 96 nt
Organism: Paramuricea clavata
Lineage: Eukaryota; Metazoa; Cnidaria; Anthozoa; Malacalcyonacea; Plexauridae
Source: the annotation of a GenBank genome assembly
GGAUGGUUCAAGUAAGUGAUAUUUCGGAACAGUAUCUAGUUCCUUUAAUACCAAUGAAGGAACUAGAUACUGUUCCAAAAUAUCACUUACUCGAAC